This 440-nucleotide ribosomal RNA is filed under the name uncultured bacterium. RNAcentral describes it as "partial 16S ribosomal RNA". It matches the Rfam family "Bacterial small subunit ribosomal RNA", at positions 338 to 795 of the family's 1533-position model. The record is from RNAcentral.
CCUACGGGUGGCAGCAGUGGGGGAUAUUGCACAAUGGAGGGAACUCUGAUGCAGCGACGCCGCGUGGGCGAAGGAGUUCUUCGGCAUGUAAACCCCUAUCAGCGGGGAAGAAAAUGACGGUACCUGACUAAGAAGCCCCGGCUAAAUACGUGCCAGCAGCCGCGGUAAUACGUAUGGGGCAAGCGUUAUCCGGAUUUACUGGGUGUAAAGGGAGCGGAGGCGGGCGGGCAAGGUUGAUGUGAAAUACCGGGGCCUAACCCCGGGGCUGCAUUGGGAAUUGCCAGGCUGGAGUGACGGAGGGGCAGGCGGAAUUCCUAGUGUAGCGGUGAAAUGCGUAGAUAUUAGGAGGAACACCAGUGGCGAAGGCGGCCUGCUGGACGGUGACUGACGCUGAGGCUCGAAAGCGUGGGGAGCAAACAGGAUUAGAUACCCUAGUAGUC